AACGUGCUGGUCAGGAAGAUCGGCGGCUUGAGGCUGCCCUCCGAAAGCGCCGGAUCGUAUCCCGCGCCCAUCA
Molecule: transfer RNA, 73 nt
Filed under: Tsuneonella deserti
Lineage: Bacteria; Pseudomonadati; Pseudomonadota; Alphaproteobacteria; Sphingomonadales; Erythrobacteraceae
Description: tRNA-Ser
Source: RNAcentral